This 388-nucleotide ribosomal RNA is filed under the name uncultured microorganism. Its description in RNAcentral is "bacterial SSU rRNA". It matches the Rfam family "Archaeal small subunit ribosomal RNA", at positions 331 to 720 of the family's 1478-position model. The record is from RNAcentral.
GGCAGCAGUCGAGAAAACUUCACAAUGUGCGAAAGCACGAUGAGGGAAUCCCAAGUGCUUGCACGUAAGUGUAAGCUGUUUCUCUGUCUAAAACGCAGAGAGAGUAAGGGCUGGGUAAGACGGGUGCCAGCCGCCGCGGUAAUACCUGCAGCUCGAGUGGUGACCGCUAUUAUUGGGCCUAAAACGUCCGUAGCCGGUUUAAUAAAUGCCUGGGUAAAUCGGACCGCUUAACGGUUCGAAUUCCGGGUAGACUGUUAAACUUGAGACCGGGAGAAGUUAGAGGUACUCCUGGGGUAGAGGUGAAAUUCUGUAAUCCUAGGGGGACCACCAGUGGCGAAGGCGUCUAACUAGAACGGGUCUGACGGUGAGGGACGAAGCCCUGGGGCGC